RNAcentral lists this ribosomal RNA (459 nucleotides) under Acinetobacter sp. oral taxon C51. RNAcentral's name for it is "bacterial SSU rRNA". It matches the Rfam family "Bacterial small subunit ribosomal RNA", at positions 30 to 480 of the family's 1533-position model. Lineage: Bacteria; Pseudomonadati; Pseudomonadota; Gammaproteobacteria; Moraxellales; Moraxellaceae. The record is from RNAcentral.
AUUGAACGCUGGCGGCAGGCGUAACACAUGCAAGUCGAGCGGAGCGAGGGUGCUUGCACCUUAGCUUAGCGGCGGACGGGUGAGUAAUGCUUAGGAAUCUGCCUAUUAGUGGGGGACAACAUUCCGAAAGGGAUGCUAAUACCGCAUACGCCCUACGGGGGAAAGCAGGGGAUCACUUGUGACCUUGCGCUAAUAGAUGAGCCUAAGUCGGAUUAGCUAGUUGGUGGGGUAAAGGCCUACCAAGGCGACGAUCUGUAGCGGGUCUGAGAGGAUGAUCCGCCACACUGGGACUGAGACACGGCCCAGACUCCUACGGGAGGCAGCAGUGGGGAAUAUUGGACAAUGGGGGGAACCCUGAUCCAGCCAUGCCGCGUGUGUGAAGAAGGCCUUUUGGUUGUAAAGCACUUUAAGCGAGGAGGAGGCGCUCUAGGAUAAUACCCUAGAUGCGUGGACGUACUC